GACUUGUAAUUAUAUUUAAUUUGAUUUUUGAUAAUUUAUAAAUAAUAUACUUGACCUAUUCUUUUUUUUACUCAAGCGGAUUAAAUAUAUUAAAAUGAGCUAAGUUUUUUUGGUGAAUAUUAUAAAUACUCGAAACUAGAAUUAUAUUACUAAUUUUUAUGGAUUAAGUUUAAUUAAAAGUAAGAUUUGGAGUUAAUAAAUUAGCCCAAAACUUGUUAUAAACUACAAUAAAUUUUGGAAAUUAAAGUUUUAAUAUUGAGAAAUCUUGAGGCUAUAAGAACUAGAGUGGAAUACUACUAAAUUUUAUAUAGUUUACCUGAAAUAACGAAGGAAAUAGAGAAUGGUUGGUUGUUAGACACUGCUAGUAGUUCACACUUCACUGUAUUUCGAUCUUGGAAAAGUGAUGAUGCACCUCCCCAUCGCCUAGAUUAGAGGCUGGCUACAAUGGAUUGCCAAGUGUAAUUUUUUCACAGAGAAGAUUGUUACGCAUACGCUUUUUCUUGGUUCGGAAAGAGUAAAAUGGAGAAAGCAAGCAACAGGCAACGUGUUCUUCUCGGUCACCUCCGUUCUUCUUCUUCUUAUAACAAUCAUGAAUCCUCUCUCUCUGCAUCUGCUUGUUUAGCUGGAGGUAGCGCGGCAUAUGGAGAUGAUGUCGUUGUUGUGGCGGCUUAUCGAACUCCGCUAUGCAAAUCAAAGCGUGGUGGUUUCAAGGAUACUCAUGCUGAUGAUUUACUAGCACCUGUGUUGAAGGCAUUGAUAGAGAAAACUAAUUUAGAUGCAAGAGAAGUUGGGGAUAUUGUUGUGGGUUCGUCAUUGGCACCAGGGUCUCAAAGAGCAAGCGAAUGCAGGAUGGCUGCGCUCUGUGCUGGUUUCCCUGAAACUGUGCCGAUAAGGACUGUCAAUAGGAAAUGUUCGUCUGGGCUUCAGGCAGUUGCUGAUGUGGCUGCUUCUAUCAAAGCAGGGUUCUAUGAAAUUGGCAUUGGAGCUGGGUUGGAAUCCAUGACAGUAAAUUCAAGGGCGUGGGUUGGAGAUGUGAACCCAAAGGUAAAGCGCUUUCAGGAAGCCCAAGAUUGCCUUCUACCCAUGGGUGUUACUUCAGAGAAUGUUGCACAUCGUUUCAGUGUGACAAGGCAGGAACAGGAUCAGGCUGCAGUUGAUUCUCACAGGAAGGCCGCCGCCGCUUCUGCUUCUGGCAGAUUCAAGGAUGAAAUCAUCCCUGUCGCUACAAAGAUAGCUGACCCUAAAACUGGGGAUGAGAAGCCCAUAAUAGUUUCUGUUGACGAUGGGAUUCGCCCAAACACAUCAUUAGCAGAUCUGGGAAAACUAAAGGCCGUGUUUAAGAAAGAUGGGACCACCACUGCUGGGAAUUCUAGCCAAAUCAGUGAUGGUGCUGCGGCUGUGUUGCUCAUGAAAAGAAGUGUUGCUAUGCACAAAGGGUUACCCGUCCUUGGUGUAUUCAGAACAUUUGUUGUUGUUGGUGUGGAUCCUGCCAUCAUGGGUGUGGGCCCAGCUGUUGCAAUCCCCGCUGCAGUGAAGGCUGCUGGUCUAGAACUUGAGGAUAUUGAUCUUUUUGAGAUAAAUGAGGCAUUCGCUUCCCAGUUUGUAUAUUGCUGUAAGAAGCUGGAGCUUGAUCUGCAGAAGAUCAAUGUCAAUGGGGGUGCAAUAGCAAUUGGACAUCCUCUGGGUACAACAGGUGCUAGAUGUGUGGCUACUAUACUGCAUGAGAUGAAGCGCCGUGGUAGGGACUGUCGCUUCGGAGUGGUUUCAAUGUGCAUAGGCACAGGAAUGGGAGCUGCUGCUGUUUUUGAAAGGGGGGAUGGUUGUGAUGAGCUUUGCAAUGCUUGGAAAGUCGAAAGCAACAAUCUCUUAUCCAAGGAUUCAAGAUAGUCGUAUUUGAUGGGCACAUCGCAGAAGCUUCCAAUAAAUGCAGUUUGGAGUUAUUUUAUUAUUCAUAAUAAUAAAGUGUAACAAGGUCUACCUCAUCGUCCAUUAUUACAGUGACGCAAAUUCUCUUCCUUAUCAAACGGUACCUUAGAAUGUCAAGAGAUUUACUAACGCGGUUUGGAACAGAUGUGCACGCAUAUACCUUAUCUUAGAGAUGUUUGAACUUGCAAGAAGUGCCCAAAUUCCUUGGACCAGCCACAGAAACGAUAAACACACGCCUUGGAUUACUACUUACUAGCCAGGGUCACACCGUCCCAAGUUCCUCAUCAUGUAUUUGCAGUGGCAAAAGAAUUGCAGGAGCCGGCGUGUUCCGCUUCAGGGUGUUUACAUCUCAGCGAAUUCUGAGACGAUAUUCUGCUGACUCCCAGGCUCAGGAAACUGUAGGGUGGGAAAGCAAAAAUAUGCCUGCCAACCUUUGCUUUCAAGCCCUCGCAGUGGCAUUAUUUUUUUUACUCAACGGUCGGUUCAACGAGCUAUGAGCUUUUUUUAAUGAGGUACUUUGCACUAUCAAUUUGUACCAUUGAGGCCUCGCAUCUUUGAAAUUUCCUACUUGAACCAUUGGUACUUCUAGUUCAGAGAACUAACAUCUUUAGUCCGUUGAUCCCUAA
RNA transcript from Populus nigra (black poplar), 2552 nucleotides. It is a transcript of the gene named 3-ketoacyl-CoA thiolase 2, peroxisomal-like, with no coding region annotated. The record is from RefSeq and is a predicted model, not a curated record. The transcript is spliced from 15 exons. NCBI's taxonomy places the organism in Eukaryota, Viridiplantae, Streptophyta, Magnoliopsida, Malpighiales, Salicaceae.